This 819-nucleotide ribosomal RNA is filed under the name Trechispora candidissima. Its description in RNAcentral is "partial large subunit ribosomal RNA". It matches the Rfam family "Eukaryotic large subunit ribosomal RNA", at positions 77 to 915 of the family's 3401-position model. The record is from RNAcentral. Lineage: Eukaryota; Fungi; Basidiomycota; Agaricomycetes; Trechisporales; Hydnodontaceae.
CCCCUAGUAACUGCGAGUGAAGCGGGAAAAGCUCAAAUUUGAAAUCUGGCGGUUCCGCCGUCCGAGUUGUAUUCUGGAGAAGCGUUUUCCGUGCCGGACCGUGUACAAGUCCCUUGGAACAGGGCGUCGUAGAGGGUGAGAAUCCCGUCUUUGACACGGACCCCCGGUGCUAUGUGAUGCGCUCUCGAAGAGUCGAGUUGUUUGGGAAUGCAGCUCAAAAUGGGUGGUAAAUUCCAUCUAAAGCUAAAUAUUGGCGAGAGACCGAUAGCGAACAAGUACCGUGAGGGAAAGAUGAAAAGCACUUUGGAAAGAGAGUAAAACAGUACGUGAAAUUGUUGAAAGGGAAACGCUUGAAGUCAGUCGCGUCUGCCGGAACUCAGCCUUGCUUCUGCUUGGUGCACUUUCCGGCCCGACGGGCCAGCAUCGGUUUCGGGUGACGGACACUGGUGUGGGGAAGGUGGCGGCUCAGGCCGUGUUAUAGCCCCUCGCCGCAAACGUCGUCUGGGACCGAGGAAUCCGGCGCAAGCCUGGGAUGCUGGCGUAAUGGCUUUAAACGACCCGUCUUGAAACACGGACCAAGGAGUGCUACGUGCUCGCGAGUGUUUGGGUGGAAAACCCGAGCGCGCAAUGAAAGUGAAAGUCGAUACCCCUCGCGGGGGCACCGACGCCCGAGCCUGAUGUUUUCGGACGGCCUUGCGGUAGAGCGAGUGCGUUGCGACCCGAAAGAUGGUGAACUAUUCCUGAGGAGGGCGAAGCCAGAGGAAACUCUGGUGGAGGCUCGUAGCGGUUCUGACGUGCAAAUCGAUCGCAGGACUUGGG